GACGAACGCUGGCGGCGUGCUUAACACAUGCAAGUCGAACGAAGUGGCGAACGGGUGAGUAACGCGUAAUCACCCUGCCCUUCAGAGGGGGACCACAGUUUGAAACGAGUGCUAAUAACGCAUACUGACGGAGGGCACUCCGUCUGAUUAGAUAGUUGGAGGGGUAACGGCCCACAAAGGCGAUGAUCAGUAGCCGGACUGAGAGGAUGAACGGCCACGUUGGGACUGAGACACGGCCCAGACUCCUACGGGAGGCAGCAGUGGGGAAUCUUCCGCAAUGGACGAAAGUCUGACGGAGCAACGCCGCGUGAGUGAUGACGGCCUUCGGGUUGUAAAGCUCUGUUAAUCGGGACGCGGUACCGGAAUAGAAAGCCACGGCUAACUACGUGCCAGCAGCCGCGGUAAUUC
This 408-nucleotide ribosomal RNA is filed under the name uncultured bacterium. RNAcentral describes it as "partial 16S ribosomal RNA". It matches the Rfam family "Bacterial small subunit ribosomal RNA", at positions 28 to 526 of the family's 1533-position model. The record is from RNAcentral.